GGAAGCAUGGGGUAACCAGGCAUCCUGGCGGGCUCCAGACCCGCUGAUCUGGGUUCGAAUCCCAGUGCUUCCA
Molecule: transfer RNA, 73 nt
Filed under: Thermoplasmata archaeon
Lineage: Archaea; Methanobacteriati; Thermoplasmatota; Thermoplasmata
Description: tRNA-Trp
Rfam family: tRNA
About the family: Transfer RNA (tRNA) molecules are approximately 80 nucleotides in length. Their secondary structure includes four short double-helical elements and three loops (D, anti-codon, and T loops). Further hydrogen bonds mediate the characteristic L-shaped molecular structure. tRNAs have two regions of fundamental functional importance: the anti-codon, which is responsible for specific mRNA codon recognition, and the 3' end, to which the tRNAs corresponding amino acid is attached (by aminoacyl-tRNA synthetases). tRNAs cope with the degeneracy of the genetic code in two manners: having more than one tRNA (with a specific anti-codon) for a particular amino acid; and 'wobble' base-pairing, i.e. permitting non-standard base-pairing at the 3rd anti-codon position.
Source: RNAcentral